This 431-nucleotide ribosomal RNA is filed under the name uncultured Pelagibacteraceae bacterium. RNAcentral describes it as "bacterial SSU rRNA". It matches the Rfam family "Bacterial small subunit ribosomal RNA", at positions 29 to 505 of the family's 1533-position model. Lineage: Bacteria; Pseudomonadati; Pseudomonadota; Alphaproteobacteria; Candidatus Pelagibacterales; Candidatus Pelagibacteraceae. The record is from RNAcentral.
AACGUACGCUGGCGGCACGCCUAACACAUGCAAGUCGAACGAAGUAGCAAUACUUAGUGGCAGACGGGUGCGUAACAUGUGGGAAUCUGCCUUUUGGUUCGGAACAACACGGGGAAACUUGUGCUAAUACCGGAUAAGUCCUAACGGAGAAAGAUUUAUCGCCGAAAGAUGAGCCCGCACUUGAUUAGCUAGUUGGUAAGGUAAAAGCUUACCAAGGCAAUGAUCAAUAGCUGUUCUUAGAGGAAGACCAGCCACAUUGGGACUGAGACACGGCCCAGACUCCUACGGGAGGCAGCAGUGGGGAAUCUUGCACAAUGGAGGAAACUCUGAUGCAGCGAUGCCGCGUGAGUGAAGAAGGCCCUUGGGUUGUAAAGCUCUUUUGUCGGGAAAGAUAAUGACUGUACCCGAAGAAUAAGGUCCGGCUAACUUCG